RNAcentral lists this long non-coding RNA (417 nucleotides) under Olea europaea subsp. europaea. The record is from RNAcentral. Lineage: Eukaryota; Viridiplantae; Streptophyta; Magnoliopsida; Lamiales; Oleaceae.
CUACAUUAAAACGAAAACAAAUAUAAAACCGAAUGGAAAAAUCAUAUAUUUUAAUCCCUAUAUCAAUUUUCAACAAGAGAAAAAAUCCAAAUAUGCAAUUAAGGGGAUUGAAUAUACUUUUAAAAAGUACUGAAUAUCAAAUUGACGGAGGAGGAAUUGCUGGAAGUUGCAGGCGAGUGAUUGACAUAGGGAUUAUCAGAUCCACAAUCGUAAUCCCUCGAUAUCGUCGAUUCCAUCACCAAUGCUUGGCUCCACCUCGCCGAUUUCUUGGAUUUCACACUCCCAGCCAAUUUAGUAAAUUACUAGCGAGUGUUUGAUAGGUUGGAAAUGGAAAAAAGAGAUGGAAUUGGAAUUGGAAUUGGAAUUGGAAGAAUUGGAAUUGGAAAUUGCAAGUGUUUGAUACCUUAUAUUUUUUUU